RNAcentral lists this long non-coding RNA (584 nucleotides) under Trifolium pratense (red clover). RNAcentral describes it as "long non-coding RNA (TPRA_LNC005257)". Lineage: Eukaryota; Viridiplantae; Streptophyta; Magnoliopsida; Fabales; Fabaceae. The record is from RNAcentral.
UAAGUGUUAAAAACUCUUUAAUUGAUGUAAGGAGAAUAUGAGUUUUAUAAAUAAAAAAGCAAUAAAAUCAUAUUCUAUUUACAAUUUUACAUGCUAAAGGUUGGAAAAUAUGACUAAAAUAGUAAAAUUUGUUUAUAUUAUGAUUAUUCUUCUUUCCUUAUUUAUUGUUUCAACAAGCUUUACUUGUAAGCAUUUUUAUCUCCAUUACAAAUUUAUUUAUUUACUUAUAAUAUUUUAUCUCUAUUUUAGUAACAUUAAUUCUUGUUUCUCUUUUUAGAUAUUCAAUGUGCUCAUAAAGGUGAUUGUCCAAACCUAUUUUGCCCAUACCCUAAAAGAAUUAAGUGUAUUAAAGGUUUAUGUCUUUGUCAAUAAUUAUAAAGCUCCAUAGGUUAAAAGUGGCAGACCCAAGAGACUACACAUGCACACUGCUAAAAUAAUUAAUCCAUGAGUUGUUAUGUAGUUAUUGUGAUGAUAACCAAUAAUUUAAUUAUUUUUUUUAGCUUUUAAAUUUUACGAACCUUGUUGUUUUGUACUUUAAAUAUGAUGUAAUUUAAAUGAAAUAAAACAUCAAAGAAUAUUAUCUA